GAGCACAUGAUGUAGUUGGUUAUUAGGCUCGCUUAGCAUUAAAAUCUCAUUUGCGAGAGGUGUUGGGUUCAAUUCCCAAUAUAUCCA
This 87-nucleotide transfer RNA is filed under the name Crucibulum laeve. RNAcentral's name for it is "tRNA-Ala". Lineage: Eukaryota; Fungi; Basidiomycota; Agaricomycetes; Agaricales; Nidulariaceae. The record is from RNAcentral.